AACUCUGUAGAGAGCACUUUGGGCGACGUCGUCAUCGACUUGUACACCGAGGAGUGGCCGCGUGCCUGCUUGAAUUUCUUGAAAUUGUGCAAAAUAAAAUAUUACAAUUAUUGCCUUAUUCACAAUGUACAGAGGGAUUUUAUCAUACAAACUGGUGAUCCUACGGGGACUGGCCGUGGAGGAGAGUCUAUUUUUGGCCAACUGUAUGGUGAUCAAGCAAGCUUUUUUGAGGCAGAAAAAGUCCCAAGAAUUAAGCACAAGAAGAAAGGCACAGUGUCCAUGGUGAACAAUGGCAGUGAUCAACAUGGAUCUCAGUUUCUCAUCACUACAGGAGAAAAUCUAGAUUACCUUGAUGGUGUCCAUACAGUGUUUGGUGAGGUGAUAGAAGGAAUGGACAUAAUUAAGAAAAUUAAUGAGACCUUUGUUGACAAGGACUUUGUACCAUAUCAGGAUAUCAGGAUAAAUCAUACGGUGAUUUUAGAUGAUCCAUUUGAUGACCCUCCUGAUUUAUUAAUCCCUGAUCGGUCACCAGAACCUACAAGGGAACAAUUAGAUAGUGGUCGAAUAGGAGCAGAUGAAGAAAUUAAUGAUUUCAAAGGACGAUCAGCUGAGGAAGUAGAAGAAAUAAGGCAGAAAAAGAGGCUAAAACUCAGGCUAUACUUUUAGAGAUGGUGGGAGACCUACCUGAUGCAGAUAUUAAACCUCCAGAAAACGUGCUGUUUGUGUGUAAAUUGAACCCAGUGACCACAGAUGAGGAUCUGGAAAUAAUAUUCUCUAGAUUUGGGCCGAUAAGAAGUUGUGAAGUUAUCUGGGACUGGAAGACAGGAGAGUCCCUCUGUUAUGCUUUUAUUGAAUUCUAAAAGGAAGAAGAUUGUGAGAAAGCGUUCUUCAAAAUGGACAAUGUACUUAUAGAUGACGGAAGAAUACAUGUGGAUUUUAACCAGUCUGUUGCAAAGGUUAAAUGGAAAGGAAAAGGUGGGAAAUACACUAAGAGUGAUUUCAAGGAAUAUGAAAAAGAACAGGAUAAACCAUCUAAUUUGGUUCUGAAAGAUAAAGUAAAGCCCAAACAGGAUGCAAAAUAUGAUCUUAUACUAGAUGAGCAGGCAGAAGACUCAAAAUCAAGUCACUCACACACAAGUAAAAAACAUAAGAAGAAAACCCGUCACUGCUCUGAAGAAAAAGAAGAUGAGAGGCCGGGCGCGGUGGCUCACGCCUUAACAGUCAUUCAGCCCCCUUACAUCACAACCCAUGAUCCUAUCUUCUGUUUAAGUUUGUCAUGA
Sapajus apella (tufted capuchin) is the source of this 1280-nucleotide RNA transcript. It is a transcript of the gene named peptidyl-prolyl cis-trans isomerase-like 4 pseudogene, with no coding region annotated. The transcript is spliced from 2 exons. The record is from RefSeq and is a predicted model, not a curated record. Lineage: Eukaryota; Metazoa; Chordata; Mammalia; Primates; Cebidae.